This 548-nucleotide ribosomal RNA is filed under the name Rhodotorula mucilaginosa. RNAcentral's name for it is "eukaryotic LSU rRNA". The stretch from base 128 to 281 matches the Rfam family "5.8S ribosomal RNA". Lineage: Eukaryota; Fungi; Basidiomycota; Microbotryomycetes; Sporidiobolales; Sporidiobolaceae. The record is from RNAcentral.
GGAGUCCGAACUCUCACUUUUCUAACCCUGUGCACUUGUUUGGGAUAGUAACUCUCGCAAGAGAGCGAACUCCUAUUCACUUAUAAACACAAAGUCUAUGAAUGUAUUAAAUUUUAUAACAAAAUAAAACUUUCAACAACGGAUCUCUUGGCUCUCGCAUCGAUGAAGAACGCAGCGAAAUGCGAUAAGUAAUGUGAAUUGCAGAAUUCAGUGAAUCAUCGAAUCUUUGAACGCACCUUGCGCUCCAUGGUAUUCCGUGGAGCAUGCCUGUUUGAGUGUCAUGAAUACUUCAACCCUCCUCUUUCUUAAUGAUUGAAGAGGUGUUUGGUUUCUGAGCGCUGCUGGCCUUUACGGUCUAGCUCGUUCGUAAUGCAUUAGCAUCCGCAAUCGAACUUCGGAUUGACUUGGCGUAAUAGACUAUUCGCUGAGGAAUUCUAGUCUUCGGAUUAGAGCCGGGUUGGGUUAAAGGAAGCUUCUAAUCAGAAUGUCUACAUUUUAAGAUUAGAUCUCAAAUCAGGUAGGACUACCCGCUGAACUUAAGCAUAUCU